Molecule: long non-coding RNA, 1501 nt
Filed under: Malus domestica (apple)
Lineage: Eukaryota; Viridiplantae; Streptophyta; Magnoliopsida; Rosales; Rosaceae
Description: long non-coding RNA (MDOM_LNC006924)
Source: RNAcentral
GACGAGCAGCCCACUCUCGUAGCCCAAAUCGGUCCAAGAUUAGUUCAACCAUCUCGGUUUCAAACUUUUGGGCUUACGAUCAAACCGGGGGCAUUCUCACCACAUUUCUCCGCUAAUUUGACAUUUCCCAACUCAAAUCUCACGCCCGGAGUCUACCACCUUUCCACUGCUUAAGGAGGCACAUUCCUUCCAAGCUCUUCCAAUCCAAAUGGUGGACAACACUUGUCAACAAGUCAUAGAGUUGACAAGUGCCCUAACGCAGCAAACAACCGUGGUGAACGAGCUCUUGCGACGUACCCCAAACGAGGUGUCCCAAAGUAGGACAAGGGCAGAUGAAGAACCUCUCCAGCAGCAUCCUAGCAAGUAGCCACUCGACCAUCCACGAACCGAGUGUUUGGGUAGAGUACACUCCUGAUCGGGCCCCCGAGAUAGCAUAUACUUUCAUCUUAGAGCACGGAGGAGCGUGCACUAUCGACUAGGCCCACCGAUGAGCAUACACACUUGGUUGAGGACGCACUCUGAUAAUCAACAUGAGCAGCCUUCCAAGCAAAGUAUUCAUUCACGGCUAAGUCCGCAAGGAGUAUCCUCCACAUUACAUCGGAGUAGGUAGUACAACAGACGGAAAGAAGCAGUCACUCAAUCCAGUUUAAGUUCAACCAGAAGCUUGUGAGUUACACGCUCGCCUAUUAGGAACAUACCACACCCACCGCAGCCACGGCAUAGACGAGCCGAACAUAUGGAAGAACAGCUUAGACCAGCACAUCACGAUUGGGGGCAGUCAAGAGCUUUGCCACCCUAACAAAGGAAAAUUCAGGAAGAAGUAGAAAGGCUUCUGACCAAGCGAUUGCGUAAUUUCUCGCGCCAACUAAGCCUCAAAAGGGUCUAUUCUCCUGUGCAAGAGGAUAAACUAAUUGUUCUCCAGUGCGAGAGGGUGAACCAAUUGCCGACACCCAGAUGGGUUUGCUCUGCAAUGUGAGAGGAUAAACUAAUUGCUCUCUGGUACAAUAGGGUAAACCAAUUCCCCGACACCCAUAUGGGUUUGCUCUCCAGUGUAAAAGGAUAAACUAAUUGCUCUCCAGUGCGAGAGGGUAAACCAAUUCCCUGAAACCCAAAAGGGUUUGCUCUCUAAUGCGAGAGGAUAAACUAAUUGCUCUGCAGUGGGAGAGGGUAAACUAAUUGCUCUCCAGUGCGAGAGGGUAAACCAAUUCCCCAACACCCAUAUGGGUUUACUCUCCAGUGCGAGAAGGUAAACUAAUUGCUCUCCAGUGCGAUAGGGUAAACUAAAUCCCUGACACCCAUCUGUGUAAGCUCUCCAGUGUAAGAAUGCCACAUAGUUGAAAAGAUUGAAUGCUUGAAGAUCAACUAAGCAACAAAUGUUGAAAAUCAAACUCAAGCAGUUUCCUCAUUUUCAGCAGGCAGCCCAGACGUGGCAGCCCAAACAAUUGCCUAUCCCACGCCACUUCCUCGCCCUAUGCCGAACCAAUCCUUUGCUACAAUCAAG